Oncorhynchus tshawytscha (Chinook salmon) is the source of this 676-nucleotide long non-coding RNA. Lineage: Eukaryota; Metazoa; Chordata; Actinopteri; Salmoniformes; Salmonidae. The record is from Ensembl.
GGCCAGCAGAGAGAGAGGGGUGGUAAAGCCAGACGGACAGCAGAGAGAGAGGGGUGGUAAAGCCAGACGGACAGCAGAGAGAGAGGGGUGGUAAAGCCAAACGGCCAGCAGAAAGAGAGGUGGUAAAGCCAGACGGCCAGUAGAGAGAGAGGGGUGGUAAAGCCAGACGGCCAGCAGAGAGAGAGGGGUGGUAAAGCCAGACGGACAGCAGAGAGAGAGGGGUGGUAAAGCCAGACGGACAGCAGAGAGAGAGGGGUGGUAAAGCCAAACGGCCAGCAGAAAGAGAGGUGGUAAAGCCAGACGGCCAACAGAGAGAGAUGGGUGGUAAGGCCAGACGGACAGCAGAGAGAGAGGGGUGUUAAAGCCAGACGGACAGCAGAGAGAGAGAGGGGUGUUAAAGCCAGACGGCCAGUAGAGAGAGAGAGAGGGGUGGUAAAGCCAGACGGCCAGCAGAGAGAGAGGGGGGUGUUAAAGCCAGACGGCCAGUAGAGAGAGAGAGAGGGGUGGUAAAGCCAGACGGCCAGCAGAGAGAGAGAGGGGUGGUAAAGCCAGACGGACAGCAGAGAGAGAGACGGGUGGUAAAGCCAGACGGCCAGUAGAGAGAGAGGGGGGUGGUAAAGCCAGACGGACAGUAGAGAGAGAGGGGUGGUAAAGCCAGACGGACAGCAGAGAGAGA